CCUACGGGAGGCAGCAGUGAGGAAUAUUGGUCAAUGGACGAGCGUCUGAACCAGCCAAGUAGCGUGAAGGAUGACUGCCCUAUGGGUUGUAAACUUCUUUUAUAUGGGAAUAAAACGUUCCACGUGUGGGAUUUUGUAUGUACCAUAUGAAUAAGGAUCGGCUAACUCCGUGCCAGCAGCCGCGGUAAUACGGAGGAUCCGAGCGUUAUCCGGAUUUAUUGGGUUUAAAGGGAGCGUAGGUGGAUUGUUAAGUCAGUUGUGAAAGUUUGCGGCUCAACCGUAAAAUUGCAGUUGAAACUGGCAGUCUUGAGGACAGUAGAGGUGGGCGGAAUUCGUGGUGUAGCGGUGAAAUGCUUAGAUAUCACGAAGAACUCCGAUUGCGAAGGCAGUUCACUGGACUGCAACUGACACUGAGGCUCGAAAGUGUGGGUAUCAAACAGGAUUAGAUACCCCAGUAGUC
This 460-nucleotide ribosomal RNA is filed under the name uncultured bacterium. Its description in RNAcentral is "partial 16S ribosomal RNA". It matches the Rfam family "Bacterial small subunit ribosomal RNA", at positions 338 to 795 of the family's 1533-position model. The record is from RNAcentral.